This 1402-nucleotide ribosomal RNA is filed under the name Staphylococcus saprophyticus. RNAcentral describes it as "bacterial SSU rRNA". It matches the Rfam family "Bacterial small subunit ribosomal RNA". Lineage: Bacteria; Bacillati; Bacillota; Bacilli; Caryophanales; Staphylococcaceae. The record is from RNAcentral.
AGUCGAGCGAACAGAUAAGGAGCUUGCUCCUUUGACGUUAGCGGCGGACGGGUGAGUAACACGUGGGUAACCUACCUAUAAGACUGGGAUAACUUCGGGAAACCGGAGCUAAUACCGGAUAACAUUUGGAACCGCAUGGUUCUAAAGUGAAAGAUGGUUUUGCUAUCACUUAUAGAUGGACCCGCGCCGUAUUAGCUAGUUGGUAAGGUAACGGCUUACCAAGGCGACGAUACGUAGCCGACCUGAGAGGGUGAUCGGCCACACUGGAACUGAGACACGGUCCAGACUCCUACGGGAGGCAGCAGUAGGGAAUCUUCCGCAAUGGGCGAAAGCCUGACGGAGCAACGCCGCGUGAGUGAUGAAGGGUUUCGGCUCGUAAAACUCUGUUAUUAGGGAAGAACAAACGUGUAAGUAACUGUGCACGUCUUGACGGUACCUAAUCAGAAAGCCACGGCUAACUACGUGCCAGCAGCCGCGGUAAUACGUAGGUGGCAAGCGUUAUCCGGAAUUAUUGGGCGUAAAGCGCGCGUAGGCGGUUUCUUAAGUCUGAUGUGAAAGCCCACGGCUCAACCGUGGAGGGUCAUUGGAAACUGGGAAACUUGAGUGCAGAAGAGGAAAGUGGAAUUCCAUGUGUAGCGGUGAAAUGCGCAGAGAUAUGGAGGAACACCAGUGGCGAAGGCGACUUUCUGGUCUGUAACUGACGCUGAUGUGCGAAAGCGUGGGGAUCAAACAGGAUUAGAUACCCUGGUAGUCCACGCCGUAAACGAUGAGUGCUAAGUGUUAGGGGGGUUUCCGCCCCUUAGUGCUGCAGCUAACGCAUUAAGCACUCCGCCUGGGGGAGUACGACCGCAAGGUUGAAACUCAAAGGAAUUGACGGGGACCCGCACAAGCGGUGGAGCAUGUGGUUUAAUUCGAAGCAACGCGAAGAACCUUACCAAAUCUUGACAUCCUUUGAAAACUCUAGAGAUAGAGCCUUCCCCUUCGGGGGACAAAGUGACAGGUGGUGCAUGGUUGUCGUCAGCUCGUGUCGUGAGAUGUUGGGUUAAGUCCCGCAACGAGCGCAACCCUUAAGCUUAGUUGCCAUCAUUAAGUUGGGCACUCUAGGUUGACUGCCGGUGACAAACCGGAGGAAGGUGGGGAUGACGUCAAAUCAUCAUGCCCCUUAUGAUUUGGGCUACACACGUGCUACAAUGGACAAUACAAAGGGCAGCUAAACCGCGAGGUCAUGCAAAUCCCAUAAAGUUGUUCUCAGUUCGGAUUGUAGUCUGCAACUCGACUACAUGAAGCUGGAAUCGCUAGUAAUCGUAGAUCAGCAUGCUACGGUGAAUACGUUCCCGGGUCUUGUACACACCGCCCGUCACACCACGAGAGUUUGUAACACCCGAAGCCGGUGGAGUAACCA